This 1473-nucleotide ribosomal RNA is filed under the name uncultured rumen bacterium. Its description in RNAcentral is "bacterial SSU rRNA". It matches the Rfam family "Bacterial small subunit ribosomal RNA". The record is from RNAcentral.
AGAGUUUGAUCCUGGCUCAGUGAACGCUGGCGGCGUGCCUAACACAUGCAAGUCGAACGGACGAGAGGAGCUUGCUCCUCAAGUUAGUGGCGAACGGGUGAGUAACGCGUGAGCAACCUGCCUUUCAGAGGGGGACAACGGUUGGAAACGACCGCUAAUACCGCAUGAUGCAGUUGGAUCGCAUGAUCCGACUGCCAAAGAUUUAUCGCUGAAAGAUGGGCUCGCGUCUGAUUAGAUAGUUGGUGGGGUAACGGCCUACCAAGUCGACGAUCAGUAGCCGGACUGGGAGGUUGAACGGCCACAUUGGGACUGAGAUACGGCCCAGACUCCUACGGGAGGCAGCAGUGGGGAAUAUUGGGCAAUGGGGGAAACCCUGACCCAGCAACGCCGCGUGAAGGAAGAAGGCUUUCGGGUUGUAAACUUCUUUUACCAGGGACGAAGGACGUGACGGUACCUGGAGAAAAAGCCACGGCUAACUACGUGCCAGCAGCCGCGGUAAUACGUAGGUGGCAAGCGUUGUCCGGAUUUACUGGGUGUAAAGGGCGUGUAGGCGGAGCGGCAAGUCAGAAGUGAAAUCUCCGGGCUUAACCCGGAAACUGCUUUUGAAACUGUCGCCCUUGAGUAUCGGAGAGGCAGGCGGAAUUCCUAGUGUAGCGGUGAAAUGCGUAGAUAUUAGGAGGAACACCAGUGGCGAAGGCGGCCUGCUGGACGACAACUGACGCUGAGGCGCGAAAGCGUGUGGAGCAAACAGGAUUAGAUACCUGGUAGUCCACUCCGUAAAUGAUGGAUACUAGGUGUGGCGGGACUGACCCCUUCCGUGCCGCAGUUAACACAAUAAGUAUCCCACCUGGGGAGUACGAUCGCAAGAUUGAAACUCAAAGGAAUUGACGGGGGCCCGCACAAGCAGUGGAUUAUGUGGUUUAAUUCGACGCAACGCGAAGAACCUUACCGGGAUUUGACAUCCUGCUAACGAAGUAGAGAUACACUAGGUGCCCUUCGGGGAAAGCAGAGACAGGUGGUGCAUGGUUGUCGUCAGCUCGUGGCGUGAGAUGUUGGGUUAAGUCCCGCAACGAAAAACAAAAAUUAUUGUUAGUUGCUACGCAAGAGCACUCUAGCGAGACUGCCGUUGACAAAACGGAGGAAGGCGGGGACGACGUCAAAUCAUCAUGCCCCUUAUGUCCCGGGCUACACACGUAAUACAAUGGCGGUCAACAGAGGGAAGCAAAGCCGCGAGGCAGAGCAAAACCCUAAAAGCCGUCUCAGUUCGGAUCGCAGUCUGCAACUCGAUUGCGUGAAGUUGGAAUUGCUAGUAAUCGCGGAUCAGCAUGCCGCGGUGAAUACGUUCCCGGGCCUUGUACACACCGCCCGUCACACCAUGAGAGUCGGGAACACCCGAAGUCCGUAGUCUAACCGCAAGGAGGGCGCGGCCGAAGGUGGGUCUGAUAAUUGGGGUGAAGUCGUAACAAGGUAACC